Pyrus x bretschneideri (Chinese white pear) is the source of this 471-nucleotide long non-coding RNA. RefSeq lists it as uncharacterized. The transcript is spliced from 3 exons. The record is from RefSeq and is a predicted model, not a curated record. NCBI's taxonomy places the organism in Eukaryota, Viridiplantae, Streptophyta, Magnoliopsida, Rosales, Rosaceae.
AGGAAUACAUAAUGUUUAGGGUUACCGCCUUUUCCCAUUCAUUUAGUAUUUUAUUAUUAUUAUUUUCAUUCCUUCACUAUAUUUUAUUCUCUCCCUCAUUUAUGUCAGUUCUCUCUCUCUCAGACUUUUCCUUUUCUUUCUCAAAUCUUCGUCUUCUUUCUCUCUAAACUGAGACAAAGAGCAACAGAGCGAAGUUGUAGGGUUUGAAGAGCUUACGGAGAAAUUCAAUUUCUGCAAAUAAGGUCAUGGACUGGAGAACCAGUUGUGUCUUUUGUGUGAAGUCUGGAGCAGUGUGUAUACAAAUAAAUGAAGAAGCUUGGAUGUUUUCUUCUUUUCUUUUUGUUAUUUUGCUUUCUUUCGUCGUUUUUGGUUUGUUGGAAUGAGGAACUACUUGUGUGAUUUUUUUAGUAGUAGCCCAAAAGUUGUAAUUCCGAAUGUAAAAGUAUUUUAAUAAAGUUCAUGUUUCCGCUA